AGUGAACGCUGGCGGUAGGCCUAACACAUGCAAGUCGAACGGCAGCACAGUAAGAGCUUGCUCUUACGGGUGGCGAGUGGCGGACGGGAGAGGAAUACAUCGGAAUCUACUUUUUCGGGGGGGAUAACGUAGGGAAACUUACGCUAAUACCGCAUACGACCUACGGGUGAAAGCAGGGGAUCUUCGGACCUUGCGCGAUUGAAUGAGCCGAUGUCGGAUUAGCUAGUUGGCGGGGUAAAGGCCCACCAAGGCGACGAUCCGUAGCUGGUCUGAGAGGAUGAUCAGCCACACUGGAACUGAGACACGGUCCAGACUCCUACGGGAGGCAGCAGUGGGGAAUAUUGGACAAUGGGCGCAAGCCUGAUCCAGCCAUACCGCGUGGGUGAAGAAGGCCUUCGGGUUGUAAAGCCCCUUUGUUGGGAAAGAAAAGCAGCAGGUUAAUACCCCGCUGUUCUGACGGUACCCAAAGAAUAAGCACCGGCUAACUUCGUG
This 492-nucleotide ribosomal RNA is filed under the name uncultured bacterium. Its description in RNAcentral is "partial 16S ribosomal RNA". It matches the Rfam family "Bacterial small subunit ribosomal RNA", at positions 29 to 507 of the family's 1533-position model. The record is from RNAcentral.